AACGAACGCUGGCGGCGUGCCUAACACAUGCAAGUCGAACGAGAAAGGGGUCUUCGGAUCCUGAGUAAAGUGGCAAACGGGUGAGUAACACGUGAGUAAUCUCCCCUUGAUUUUGGAAUAACAGCCUGAAAAGGUUGCUAAUACCAAAUGAUAUCCCGGGAUGGCAUCAUUUCGGGAUCAAAGAUAGCCUCUCCAUGGAAGCUGUCGAUCAGGGAUGAGCUCGCGCACCAUUAGCUUGUUGGUAGGGUAAUGGCCUACCAAGGCUAAGAUGGUUAGCCGGCCUGAGAGGGUGUCCGGCCACACUGGGACUGAGACACGGCCCAGACUCCUACGGGUGGCAG
RNAcentral lists this ribosomal RNA (341 nucleotides) under uncultured Pseudomonadota bacterium. RNAcentral describes it as "bacterial SSU rRNA". It matches the Rfam family "Bacterial small subunit ribosomal RNA", at positions 29 to 351 of the family's 1533-position model. The record is from RNAcentral. Lineage: Bacteria; Pseudomonadati; Pseudomonadota.